UACGUAGGGGGCUAGCGUUGUCCGGAAUCACUGGGCGUAAAGCGUACGUAGGCGGCUUUUUAAGUCAGGGGUGAAAUCCUGGAGCUCAACUCCAGAACUGCCUUUGAUACUGAGAAGCUUGAGUCCGGGAGAGGUGAGUGGAACUGCGAGUGUAGAGGUGAAAUUCGUAGAUAUUCGCAAGAACACCAGUGGCGAAGGCGGCUCACUGGCCCGGUACUGACGCUGAGGUGCGAAAGCGUGGGGAGCAAACAGG
RNAcentral lists this ribosomal RNA (253 nucleotides) under uncultured bacterium. Its description in RNAcentral is "partial 16S ribosomal RNA". It matches the Rfam family "Bacterial small subunit ribosomal RNA", at positions 524 to 776 of the family's 1533-position model. The record is from RNAcentral.